This 429-nucleotide ribosomal RNA is filed under the name Pseudomonadota bacterium. RNAcentral describes it as "Proteobacteria bacterium partial 16S ribosomal RNA". It matches the Rfam family "Bacterial small subunit ribosomal RNA", at positions 355 to 776 of the family's 1533-position model. The record is from RNAcentral. Lineage: Bacteria; Pseudomonadati; Pseudomonadota.
UGGGGAAUAUUGGACAAUGGGCGAAAGCCUGAUCCAGCCAUGCCGCGUGUGUGAAGAAGGUCUUCGGAUUGUAAAGCACUUUAAGUUGGGAGGAAGGGCAGUAAGCGAAUACCUUGCUGUUUUGACGUUACCGACAGAAUAAGCACCGGCUAACUCUGUGCCAGCAGCCGCGGUAAUACAGAGGGUGCAAGCGUUAAUCGGAAUUACUGGGCGUAAAGCGCGCGUAGGUGGUUCGUUAAGUUGAAUGUGAAAGCCCCGGGCUCAACCUGGGAACUGCAUCCAAAUGCGGCGAGCUUGAGUAGGGCAGAGGGUGGUGGAAUUUCCUGUGUAGCGGUGAAAUGCGUAGAUAUAGGAAAGAUCACCAGUGGCGAAGGCGACCACCUGGGCUCAUACUGACACUGAGGUGCGAAUGCGUGGGGAGCAAACAGG